AGUGAACGCUGGCGGUAGGCCUAACACAUGCAAGUCGAAUGGCAGCACAGUAAGAGCUUGCUCUUACGGGUGGCGAGUGGCGGACGGGUGAGGAAUACAUCGGAAUCUACUUUUUCGUGGGGGAUAACGUAGGGAAACUUACGCUAAUACCGCAUACGACCUACGGGUGAAAGCAGGGGAUCUUCGGACCUUGCGCGAUUGAAUGAGCCGAUGUCGGAUUAGCUAGUUGGCGGGGUAAAGGCCCACCAAGGCGACGAUCCGUAGCUGGUCUGAGAGGAUGAUCAGACACACUGGAACUGAGAAACGGUACAGACUCCUACGGGAGGAAGCAGUGGGGAAUAUUGGACAAUGGGCGCAAGCCUGAUCCAGAAAUACCGCGUGGGUGAAGAAGGCCUUCGGGUUGUAAAGCCCUUUUGUUGGGAAAGAAAAGCAGCAGGUUAAUACCCCGCUGUUCUGACGGUACCCAAAGAAUAAGCACCGGCUAACUUCGUG
This 492-nucleotide ribosomal RNA is filed under the name uncultured bacterium. RNAcentral's name for it is "partial 16S ribosomal RNA". It matches the Rfam family "Bacterial small subunit ribosomal RNA", at positions 29 to 507 of the family's 1533-position model. The record is from RNAcentral.